ACAAGAUGCCACAUUUGCUCAGCGUUACGAAGGGCUGAUCUAUGUGAAUCCUGCUGCCAAAUGAAUGUGUGUCUACUUAACCCAUGUAAAAAUAAUGGUACUUGUUCACCAGUUGAUAACGGUUACAGCUGUAAUUGUGUUACAGGAUAUUUAGGAGAAAACUGUGACGUAAAUCCCUGUGAUAUAUACAACCCCUGUAUAAAUAAUGGCACGUGUUAUCCAUCAGAAUUUGGUGUGAAUUGUAGCUGUCCUCCUGGAUUUAUAGGAGAAUAUUGCCAAGAUUCUGAUGACACAACACCAGUUAAAGAGGUGAGAGUAUGUAACGUGACAGAGUGUAAUGCUAAAGGUGGUACUUGUUACACAGUUAAAUGCCUUACCCCCGAUGGUA
Molecule: long non-coding RNA, 388 nt
Organism: Patella vulgata (common limpet)
Lineage: Eukaryota; Metazoa; Mollusca; Gastropoda; Patellidae
Exons: 5
Source: RefSeq, a predicted model, not a curated record